Long non-coding RNA from Sebastes umbrosus (honeycomb rockfish), 858 nucleotides. RefSeq lists it as uncharacterized. The transcript is spliced from 3 exons. The record is from RefSeq and is a predicted model, not a curated record. NCBI's taxonomy places the organism in Eukaryota, Metazoa, Chordata, Actinopteri, Perciformes, Sebastidae.
UCCAUUUCUGCAUUUUUCACAGUUUUUUUUGUGGAAAGAUUGAAUUUAACUACUUUCUCUUUCUUUAUACAAUCAGGCACGUUUCUGCUCGUCGUGGCGGAGAGUUGGCAUCGCGUCUCUUCGUCGCUUUCAUGGCUUUCUGGAGAGAAGCAGAGCAGCCAACGGGCUUUGAGGCCGCUCUCAAUUAAAGGAGUGUUUUGGCUCGAGAGUAAUCAAGACGUUUCCACGGAGGACACUCUGCAGUCCAUUUAACUUAACAGAGAAGGAGGAGGUGGAGGUGCUCGGAUCACAUGACUACCUGAAUUCCCUCCUAUCAAACGGCGUCGUCAGCCUCCAGACGGCACCUCGUAACUUCCAUCACAGACUGAAGCACACAAAGAGCUGCUGCCAUCACACUGACAGCCAAAAGCACUGGAGGCGCUCCAUCAACCCUCAGCUGACCCUCCGCUUUCAGCCACUACAAGCGUUGUUUGGUUUGGACCGACUCCAGCGUUUGGUGCAAAAAGCAGAUGUAAUGAAUAACAGAGACGGUUCAAGUUUAUUAACACACAUUUAGUUCUAAUUUGCCUUUUCAAAUAAUACUAGGGCUGCAACUAAAAACGAUUUUCUCAAUUAAUCGAUUAAUUGUUUGUAGGGGAAUCGAUUAAAAUAUUUAAAUCGCAAAUUAAUCACAUUUUUUAUCCGUUCUAAAUGUACCUUAAAGGGAGAUUUGUCAAGUAUUUAAUGCUCUUAUCAACAUAGUAGGGCUAUCUCCUGAUUCAAUACUCACAAUACUCGGGUGCUGAUUAGAUUUGUAUUCUGAUUUGUAAGUAUUGCGAUUUAUUGUGAUUUUUGUUAACACUAGAUCAUGGGGAAAAG